Molecule: ribosomal RNA, 242 nt
Filed under: uncultured bacterium
Lineage: Bacteria
Description: partial 16S ribosomal RNA
Rfam family: Bacterial small subunit ribosomal RNA
Source: RNAcentral
CGACCGGCGCACGGGUGCGUAACGCGUAUACAAUCUACCUUUACAGGGGCAUAGCCCGGGGAAACCCGGAUUAAUAUCCCAUGGUAUCAUUUAGUGGCAUCACUUGAAUGAUUAAAGUUUCGGCGGUAAAAGAUGAGUAUGCGUUCUAUUAGCUAGAUGGUAAGGUAACGGCUUACCAUGGCUACGAUAGAUAGGGGUCCUGAGAGGGAGAUCCCCCACACUGGUACUGAGACACGGACCAG